Small nuclear RNA from Amblyraja radiata (thorny skate), 185 nucleotides. RefSeq annotates it as U2 spliceosomal RNA. Lineage: Eukaryota; Metazoa; Chordata; Chondrichthyes; Rajiformes; Rajidae. The record is from RefSeq and is a predicted model, not a curated record. The transcript has a single exon.
AUGGAGUUCUGAACCCUACAGACCAAGCGUAGUAUCUGUUCUUAUCAGUUUAAUAUCUGAUAUGUCCCUUAUCUAGGAACCAUAUAUUAAAUUGGUGGUGGCACAGUGGCACAGCGAUAGAGUUCGUUCCUUACAGCGCCAGAGACACCACGUUUGAUCCUGACUACGGGUGCUGUCUGUACUGA